RNAcentral lists this microRNA precursor (111 nucleotides) under Drosophila pseudoobscura. RNAcentral's name for it is "microRNA dps-mir-2515 precursor". Lineage: Eukaryota; Metazoa; Arthropoda; Insecta; Diptera; Drosophilidae. The record is from miRBase by way of RNAcentral.
CCUAGGAUACGCCUGAUGAGUGUUUUCCCAAUUUGACUGUGGUGGUUGUGGGUAGACCCUACAGCCUCUAUAAUUGGCAGUGUGGGAGCCAACACAGUUGGCACACUUGGG